UACGUAGGGGGCGAGCGUUGUCCGGAAUGACUGGGCGUAAAGGGCGCGUAGACGGCUGUCUAAGUCUGGAGUGAAAGUCCUGCUUUCAAGGUGGGAAUUGCUUUGGAGACUGGAUGGCUUGAGUGCGGAAGAGGUAAGUGGAAUUCCCAGUGUAGCGGUGAAAUGCGUAGAGAUUGGGAGGAACACCAGUGGCGAAGGCGACUUACUGGGCCGUAACUGACGUUGAUGCGCGAAAGCGUGGGGAGCGAACAGG
This 253-nucleotide ribosomal RNA is filed under the name uncultured bacterium. RNAcentral describes it as "partial 16S ribosomal RNA". It matches the Rfam family "Bacterial small subunit ribosomal RNA", at positions 524 to 776 of the family's 1533-position model. The record is from RNAcentral.